CUAAUGCCUGUGACGUGCUGGGUGGGAUGCCUCCUGCCUGACGCAGGCCAAGGUGGGCACUCGUGGCUCGUUCUUAGACCUUCCAACCCUGGGGCAGGAGUAGCCCUGUCCUAAGAGUGGCCCUGCUGUGCCAGGGCCCCAGGGACAACCCCAUCCUGCUGGACUGGCCAGGAUGAUACCGUUCAAAUGACACUGGCUGCUCUGGACGAGACGGAGACAGUCACAUUCUUGGCAACACCAAGGGGGAGCCCAGAUGCCGCAGUGAUGGGCACUGAGCUGAGACCCAAGAGAGACCACAUCUGUGCAGACCAUACAUGGUGGCACAGACUCUCCCAGAGCGCUGCAAUUUCCUGUGCCAGUCAUCCGAGGGGAAGGCUCAGACAGUUACUGAUCCAUGAGAAGACCUUCCCUUUUGUCCCAUGACUGCUUAGUUUGCUUAAGAGCCUUUGGUGAGGGACCUUUCAAAAGCUUUCUGGAAGUCCAGGUACACUAUACUGAUUGGAUCACCCUUGUCCACAUGCUUGUUGGCACCCUCGAAGAAUUCUAAGUGAUUGGUGAGGCAUGAUUUCCCUUUACAAAAGCCGUGUUGACUCUUCCCCAAUAUAUUGUGU
Long non-coding RNA from Chrysemys picta bellii (western painted turtle), 611 nucleotides. RefSeq lists it as uncharacterized. The record is from RefSeq and is a predicted model, not a curated record. NCBI's taxonomy places the organism in Eukaryota, Metazoa, Chordata, Testudines, Emydidae.